CAGCAGCCGCGGGAAUACGAAGGGUGCAAGCGUUAAUCGGAAUUACUGGGCGUAAAGCGUGCGUAGGCGGUGAGUUAAGUCUGCUGUGAAAUCCCCGGGCUCAACCUGGGAAUGGCAGUGGAUACUGGCUCGCUAGAGUGUGUCAGAGGAUGGUGGAAUUCCCGGUGUAGCGGUGAAAUGCGUAGAGAUCGGGAGGAACAUCAGUGGCGAAGGCGGCCAUCUGGGACAACACUGACGCUGAGGCACGAAAGCGUGGGGAGCAAACAGGAUUAGAUACCCCUGUAGUCCCUGUCUCUUAUAU
RNAcentral lists this ribosomal RNA (301 nucleotides) under uncultured bacterium. RNAcentral describes it as "partial 16S ribosomal RNA". It matches the Rfam family "Bacterial small subunit ribosomal RNA", at positions 509 to 809 of the family's 1533-position model. The record is from RNAcentral.